AGCUGUCCCUUGAGGACGGAGGCCCCAGGAGAACCUCGUGGGACCCCCUUCGCUCCCAGCUGAGAUUCUUUGGUGCUGAUUUUUUUCCUGACACCGUUGGUCAGGAAAAAUGCCAGAAAAGCCAAUUAGCUGAAAGAGGUCAUUUCCAGCAGCUGUUUGCAACUACCCAAACUAGAUUGUGACUGAAGAUAACAAGCACUUGCUGUUGUAAGAAACCAUCUCAGGAUCACGGUGUCUUAACAAAGACACUGGUCCCGAAGCAUCUGGCAUCUCUCCUGGGCUUACUCUGUGUGGUAACUCAGGGGUCCUGUCAACUCACCUUCAAUACAUAACCUCCGGGACUGUCACAAAAGAGGAAAAGAACCGUGUCAAAGGUCCACAAACGCGGAGCACCGUAUGUGACCUCCUCUGAACGUCUGAUUGACAUGACAUUUGCCCUAGCAGUCACAGAUGCCUGGAAGCAUGCAGACCAAACCCCGAGGUCACCAACUGCUCCUGGUGUCCUGACACUACCAGUGACGUGCUUCUGCGGUCACACGCACAGGAGGGAGUGUAUGGCGUCCUCGGGUGAUCACACUUAGGGAUCUGUUUGAUUUUCUUUCCAGAUAGUUUAAGAACCAAGUUCCAGAGCAUUUGGCUUCAGGACCCAAAGGUUGAGCUCUCUGUCUUAGAAUUCUGCUGGCUGCUGUGACUAUUACUUGGUUACUGUCAGCAAAAUGCCUGUGCCCCUGGGUUGAAGGCCCUAGCUCUCCCACCAUGGAUUGGGAUGGACAGCAGAGGUUGCCUUCCGGUACACUCUGUUUUCCAGCAUGGGUGCCUGCUUCAGGCUGAGGACCCUCACAAGCAUCCUCCCAGGGAAGGGCCUGCUUUGGCUGGAGUGUGGAGGACUUUUGUCCAUAUAAAGGGCCAUGCAUAGCCGGGAGGCAGAGGCAGGCGGAUCUCUGAUAGUUCGAGGCCGGGCUGGACCGAUAGCCUCCAAAACAAUACAGCGAAACCCUGACUUGUAAAAACCAAAAAUAAAAAAUAAAAAUAAAUAAAUAAAGGGCCAUGCGUAGGGUCUCUGAAGGUUGAGGUUCUUUGUAAAGUUGAGUGUAAGCAAGAAAGCUUCUACAACAGCAUGUGGAAGACGUCACUGAUGUCAGCUUAACCGGCCUCUAGAACCCUGUGACUUAUUUCCUAACGCCUCCCACUUGGUACUCCUUGAAAUAAUAUUCCAAGGAGGUCCAAGCAGAGGAGUGUUCAAAUAAAUCAAUGACUGCCACGGGAAUGCAUGAGUAAUAGAACAUAUCACGGCCCAGGCCUCCGAAGCCACGCCGGGUAGGCGAGAGCACGCCUCCUGGCCGGUGCACGGCUGCCACACCUGUGCCUGUGGCUCUAUUGAGUUUUUAUUGCAAAACAGAAGGUUUUUCUCUUCCAGCCCUCUCUGUCGCUUCUCAGUGAGGAGUCACGAUAGCGGGGUGAAAAAUGAAGCCAAGAUGUCUUUGAACUUGGUUGUUUCAUGUGCUUUUCUUUCUCUCUCCCCCCUCUCUCUUUUUUUAAAAACAUUUUGAUCUGAAACAUCUGUUUUUGCUUAAAAGCACAUCUACACCAGUGACCAUUUACAUGGAGCCCUUGGAGAUCAGUUCGCGCAGAUGUUUGCCUGUUGUGGGAUUUUGUGUGAUUCACUUAAAAACAAACCAAAACAAAAC
Molecule: long non-coding RNA, 1688 nt
Organism: Mesocricetus auratus (golden hamster)
Lineage: Eukaryota; Metazoa; Chordata; Mammalia; Rodentia; Cricetidae
Exons: 2
Source: RefSeq, a predicted model, not a curated record